RNAcentral lists this long non-coding RNA (747 nucleotides) under Cricetulus griseus (Chinese hamster). RNAcentral's name for it is "lncRNA (ENSCGRG00015033643.1)". Lineage: Eukaryota; Metazoa; Chordata; Mammalia; Rodentia; Cricetidae. The record is from RNAcentral.
CUGGAACCGGGGCGCAGGCGGGCGGGGCGGGAGGCUGCAGGGCCCUGCGCGCCGCCGCGCUAGCUGCUGGGUCACAGCCCGGGCCGCGCCGCCGGCUCGACGAGGAAGUGACGACUGCGCCGUCCCGAGAGCAACAAAGUUUGAGUCUGCGGGUCGCGCUCGCCUGCGUCCCGCGCCCCUCGGAGCUGCCCGGCGAUCCAGCGUGCUGAGCUCAACACUGUUGCUGGGACUCCUUGUCUCCUUGUUCUGCCCUGCCUGCUCAGAGCUGCUGCCAGCCAGCUGUGAAGGAACAAUAAAGAAUAAAUCAGCAGAGGAGAAAAGGGCUUACAGCAGCUGCUCAGAGACGGGAGAAAUGCAAGGAAUGUGCCAGCAUUUGGCAGAGGUCCUGCAUCUUGACCAGGCCUGAGGAAGGGCUUGAUGCCGACACAAUGCUUGGUUUCAAAAAAAGGCAUCUAAAGAAGAGGUCAAGCCUGAGACUUAAGAAGAAAAUUUGCAGAAAGAGUUAUUGAGACAAGGCAGUCCCAGCUCCAGUCCUGGACUUGCUGCUGUGCUCUUCUGACCUUUGACCCCUUGGAAUUUUUCAGAGUUGAGCCCCUGUGACCCUGGAUCAAGCUGGGUACCUGCUUCCUGGUCUCUGUGACUCACAGAGUCUUAUAUCUCAGAUGAACAAAUUGAAUGGCCCAGGUGACUGAUGAGUGGCCACAAUGGGUCCUUCUCCCGUGCGUUGAAGGGCCCAGUAGAUUCUCG